UACGUAGGAAGCAAGCGUUGUCCGGAAUCAUUGGGCGUAAAGAGCGUGUAGGCGGUCCGGUCAGUCGGUUGUGAAAGUCAAGGGCUCAACCCUUGAAUGCCGGCCGAUACUGCCGGGCUAGAGUCCGGAAGAGGUGAGUGGAAUUCCUGGUGUAGCGGUGAAAUGCGCAGAUAUCAGGAGGAACACCGAUGGCGAAGGCAGCUCACUGGGACGGUACUGACGCUGAGGCGCGAAAGCGUGGGGAGCAAACAGG
RNAcentral lists this ribosomal RNA (253 nucleotides) under uncultured bacterium. RNAcentral describes it as "partial 16S ribosomal RNA". It matches the Rfam family "Bacterial small subunit ribosomal RNA", at positions 524 to 776 of the family's 1533-position model. The record is from RNAcentral.